GAAGGAACUUCGUGGGAAGGACUUUCGAAGAAAAUCCGCAAUGUCUAAGUCAUGGAAACAAGACGGAAACUGAUGUGGGGCCCACAUCAUCGUCGCGUCACUCGCUAUAAAUGAAGAAGAGCUGAGUAGAGUACCUGCAAUCCCACGUACAAAGCGAAUUUCCAGGACUCGUGUCCGUGAGAGUAAAAACAAGUGAUCUCUGCUUCGGAUAUUUCUGUAAAAAAAGGGAAAGAGAAAUGGGCAGAAAGGAGAAAGAGGCUUUUGUGUUUCUGUUGUUGAUGCUGCUGCUGACAUUCCAAACCUGCUCGGCUGCAUCAAACACGCAGCAACCCAAGAGAAGGGAGUCUCUAUCAGUAUCAUCAUCUUCAUCAUCCAACAGUCCAGGUUCCUCCGUCUUCCCUAUCUUCGGGAAUGUAUACCCCGCCGGGUUAUACUACAUUAGCGUCAGCAUUGGAAAUCCGCCCAAGAAGUACUUCCUCGACAUCGACACAGGCAGUGACCUUACAUGGGUCCAAUGCGAUGCCCCUUGUGUCAGCUGCUACGAUGGUCCCCACCCACCUUACAAACCUGCGAGGAACAAGCUUGUCUUCUGUAAGGACCCCCUCUGUCCAGCCGUCCCCUCCCUCAUCCCUUAUACAUGCGAGGAGCCUCAUGAUCAAUGUGACUACCAGAUCACGUAUGCUGACGGUGGCUUCUCUGAUGGUGUCCUUGUGCGGGACACUUUCUCACUCCGCAUGUCCUCCGGCUCUCUCGCUCAACCCAGUCUAACUUUUGGAUGUGGAUACAACCAAGGAGGCUCCAGUUCAAUCUCCACUCGUAUGACUGAUGGAGUUCUUGGCCUUGGAAAUGGCAAAUCUAGUAUUUUAUCUCAGCUGCGAGGACUCAAUCUUGUAAGAAAUGUGAUUGGCCACUGUAUCAGCGGACAAGGUGGAGGAUAUUUAUUCUUCGGAGACAGCAUCAUACCUUCUUCAGGGGUGACUUGGACACCAAUGUCUCGCAAUCGAUUUCAAAAAUACUCUCCUGGUCCCAUGAAUAUCAUCUUUGGAAAGCAGCCUAUUGGUGUGAAAGAUCUUCUGGUUGUUUUUGACAGUGGAAGCACGUACACUUACCUCGCUUCGCGGCCUUACCAAGCAUUCGUCUCCACGUUGAAGAAAAGUUUAUCUGGAAAACCACUGAAAGAAGUGUCCGAAGACGAAGACGAAACACUUUCUUUGUGCUGGAAAGGUUCGAGAUGGUUCAAAUCUAUACUCGAAGUCAAGGAAUACUUCAAGCCCUUGAUUCUGAUCUUUGCAAAUGGCAAGAAAGCUACGCUGGAAAUACCUCUUGAAGGUUAUCUGAUCAUCUCAUGGCAUGGCAAUGUUUGCUUGGGGAUUCUGAAUGGCAGUGAAGCUGGACUGCAAGAUCUCAACGUCAUUGGAGACAUCUCGCUCCAAGAUCUCAUGGUAAUCUAUGACAACGAGAAGCAGAAGAUUGGAUGGGUUCGUGAAAAUUGCAAUAGGCUCCCCACAUCUGGAACCGCUUUCUUCUGAUUUCCUUCCUCUUAAGUUGACACGCACAGAGGAGAUUCUUAGCCUCUCUCUUAUGUUUAUCCAACACCACUGACGAUCACGGCGAUGAUGGCUUCAACCAUGGUUUUUCUCAGCCUUUAUGUUGCAGACAUGGGAAUCUUGACAGAUGAGCAUCCUGCAAGUUACCCUCCUGACCGAACCAAUACGGAUGGAGCAGAACAAUAAAGACAGGAGAUCCAUUCCUCUUUCUUAUUUUUGCAAAUUCAUAUGUAUACAUUCAUAAGUGCAUUAGGCAACGUGUAUUUAAGAUGUCUUUAUGAAAAGAAAUAAAUGUUGGGUAUGUUUCUAGCUAGCCCUGUCUAACUUCUAUAGCGAUGGUGAUAAAUGUGGUCUCGACCUCACAUCCCCGUAGGGAUGAGGAAAUAUGUGAUACAAGUAGAGUAUUAAUGAAUUGUUAUAAGUUGUAUGACUUUUUCUUUCUA
Molecule: RNA transcript, 1990 nt
Organism: Magnolia sinica
Lineage: Eukaryota; Viridiplantae; Streptophyta; Magnoliopsida; Magnoliales; Magnoliaceae
Gene name: aspartic proteinase Asp1-like
Exons: 9
Source: RefSeq, a predicted model, not a curated record